Hypanus sabinus (Atlantic stingray) is the source of this 1866-nucleotide long non-coding RNA. RefSeq lists it as uncharacterized. The transcript has 5 exons. The record is from RefSeq and is a predicted model, not a curated record. Lineage: Eukaryota; Metazoa; Chordata; Chondrichthyes; Myliobatiformes; Dasyatidae.
GCCGAGCUUCCAGCUGCCAUAAAUGUGGCUCCAGCCACAUCUUCACUGAGAUGAAGCCGCUGUGGAGGAGAAGGCACAAACAGGAAAUGUCAAAGAUUCAAGUUUGUGCUUCAUCACAUCACUGAAUAUGCAAAUUCAUGUUACCCUGAAAUAUCUAUUCAAUACCAUCUGUUACAUGUGUUUGCCAUUAACCAAAUGCUGUCCAGCUGUGAAGCGUUGUUAUUCUCUGGGAAUGAACAAGAAUUCCACUGAACAGUGGAGGGGCAGUGGAAAAUAUAUAAAAAAUAACAAACAUGUGUGGACGGUUUCUUUCCAUGAUGCGGAGGAAGACAGAAGCCCUGUGUGCUUUGCCGCUGCUAUGAGCCUCACCCCAGCUUUCAGAUGAUGUCCAAAGAAUGAAGCCAGUAUUUCCACUUGUGAAGAAGUGGUGUCACCACUAAAGACCAGUCCUAUGUGAGGUGAUGCUAUGUGCCUGCGAUGCCUGUGUGCCUGGCAGGUAAUACUUCACGGUGAAGUCAGCCUAAAAUGUACUGACAUGCUCUGGAGUGGAACUUGAAGCCCCCCACCAUCUUGAUGGCUCACGAGCUGACGGCGUUGGCCACUGCCACUGAGACACAGAUAAGGUGAAGAUUCUAGAUCAUGUGAAAUCCUGGAUAUUUUGCAAGAAAACAGUUUGGGCAUCCUUGUAUCAUCUGCACUGAUCUACAUAAUGCUGCCAGUAUUCUGGUGCUGCUUUGCCAAUCUCUAAAAGACUAAAGAUGGCAAGUGGAAUAACAACAGGAAAACAUUCACACUAAUUCAUAAUAAGUUAAACCAAAGCCAGUUCACAAAAAGGAACAAAAAUGUUGCCAGAGAAGCAGAGAAUGCUGAAAAUACUCAGCAGGUAAGUUAGCAUCUGUCAAUAUGUGAUAAAAUUUAUGUUCCCAAUCAAUGAAUCUUCUGUGGACAAUUGUAUUGCUUUCUUCUCCGCAGAUGCUGUCUGACUUGCUGUGUUUCCAGCAUUUUGUUUUAUUUCAGAUUUCUAUCAUCUAGUUUUUGUUUGCUUUUCAAAAAAAAACCCACAACAGUCCACUGGAGCAGAAUCUACAGUAAUAUUCAACUUUUAAGUCACUGCAGAACAUACCGGUUCACAGGAAUAUAAUCAAUUACGUUUCUGACACCUAGUCAUAGGAACAGGUAACAGGCCAAAUAACUCUAAACCUGAGAUUCCUGUUUUAAGGAGUGCUGAACAUAGCAUCUUUAUUUUCUAGUUGGCACUGAAGCCAAUUUCUCAUGACAAUACUAAUGCUCAGCACUUGAUUUAGUUCAUUGCAGAGCCAACUAUGACUCCAAGUGUAAAUUUUAUUUGGUUUUAAAAUUGAUAUCCACCCACAAACUUACUUAAUUUCCAAACCCUGGAUUUAGCACAAUGAUAGAAGUGUUUAAUAAAGCAAAUGAAUUCACUCUUUAACAACAUUAAGAACAAUGAUAGAAAAUUCAUCUGUUCUGUCACUAAUUUAGAUUAACUCCAUGCACUCUGAAACCCUCAUCCAGUCAAAACCUAUCAAACCAUGUCUUCAACUCUUCAAAUGCCCUCCAGCAACCACUUCCUAGUGGAAAAAAACCUCCCAUUUCAAUCGGAACUAUCCACUUUCUCUUAAAAGAAAUAUCAGAAUAACUCAGAUUUGAGAAUCAUGUCAAUGACCAGUCAGUUUCCUUUGACAAAAAUAAACCUGGAAACUUUGGUUUUUUUUGGUGUUUUAUUUGAAACUUUAUUCCCCACAGAGUUCCUCUGGUACUUUUUGAGUCGCUCCAGAAUCCAGCAUGUGCAGUCUCUUGUAUCUCCAAAGUCUUAUCACAUGCUUCCAUCACACUCUCUACCAAUCU